This 2148-nucleotide long non-coding RNA is filed under the name Homo sapiens (human). RNAcentral's name for it is "HSALNT0339436". Lineage: Eukaryota; Metazoa; Chordata; Mammalia; Primates; Hominidae. The record is from RNAcentral.
GUGUAGUCGGGUAUGAGAACGAUUGCAAGCAAAAGCAGCUGAGGGACGCUGUCCAAGGAGUAGGCUCAGUAGCACGAACUGCAAAUACUUGAGAAGGGAAAAGUUCAGCCUUGUGCUGGAAAGUGGUUUAGCAUGCUGGAGCUGGUUUUCUGCUUGGUAGCCCUACAACUUUGGCCCAACUACUUGGCCUCUGGGACUCAGAUUCCUCCUCUUUAAAAUGGUGCUAAUAAUAGCACCCACCCUCUGUGAGGAGGAUGCUGUGAGGACAAAAUGAGAUCAUCCACAUAAGCCGUGAACCCUGUUCCUGGUAAGGAGCUUCUAAAAUAUAUAUUUCAGAAAUAAGGAAAAUGCUUUCAGAAAAACUGAGUUCAAGAAGAAAGGGUGAGCGAAAAUAAAGUGGUAAAUGUCACAAUGAUGCAAGAGGUGGGUUCCGACGGCCUUGGGCAGCUCCGCCCCUAUGGAUUUGCAAGCUCCUGGAAAGAAGUCUAUGGAUUAUACUCAACCUACACUCCAGUUAAAGGAACAUCUACACACAGAGGAAAUGAAUAACAUGAAGUGAAGUCUUCAUCUCCAUUCCCAACAGUCCCCAUUCUACUUGCAGAAAGGUUGCUUACACUGAAAAUCAGUUUAUUUUCCCCUGGUGCAAAGAACAGUCGUUUCUCCAAAACUGAAGCUGGAAAUUAUCUGAAAUAUCAGGUCCUCCGGAAAAGGGACGUGAAGCCCCCUUUGUAAUUUCUGCAUUAGCGUGCUCUCCUGGCAAGCAGGAAACCUCAUCAGAGAAGUCAGCCAAGGAAAGUCUUUAAAUGGAAAUUGUGCAAACGAGGAGCAAAUGCAUUAAAAAGUUGCUGACGGGCAUGAAAUGCUUUGAUGUGAAGACGGAAAACUCCAAGCAGGAAGGAUUUUAACAUUUUGAAUCUGAUUGACUCUGUGGUUUCUCAGCACAGUUAUUCCAUGGGCUAAAAUAAAUGCAGAAAUGGUACUUUCAGACCACAGCUGCAGAGGGGAUCGUGGUGAAUUUCAAUGAAAAUCCAUUUGAAUCUUGAGGUUCAGAUCUUAAAAAAGCAAAGGACAUGAGAGAAGUAAUAUUGUUGCUUGAAAUUUCAUUGCUUAUAUCUAAAAGAAACUCCUAUUUUUAAGAGAAAUGUUGAAUCUUUGCAACGUGGUAGACGCUCCCACAAAACUUUCUCCUGAAAUAGGAGAUAAAUGUUGGAAAGAGGCAAUGUAUUGAGUAUGCUGAUAGAGGUGGAGUUCAGAGACAGGCAAGCAUACAUAAGAGUCAGGAUGUUUUUCAGUAUUAUCUUUACAAAUGAGUUUCUUACAGUGGUCAAUGACAAACCAAUUUCAUUCAAAGCUUGCUUCAAUAGGCAAUGGUUUGAUGCCAAUAUGUUAGCUAUUUACUUUGACCACCGUAUGCAUUAAAAAGAAGAAAAAUUAAGAAUACUCAAGCAGAACCUCCAACUUAGAUAGCACUUUCCACAAAAAGUAAUGGAGGGAUAGACUGAAGUUAAAUGGGAUCAGGUAUGUGAUGAGAUCUCAGAAGUGUUUGCACAAUAAUGCAGAUACUCAUUUUAAACAGAGUCAUAAGGAUUGGAACUAAUAAAAAUAAUAGAAUAAAAUACCGAUCAAGAAUGUGUCCUCCUGCGUAUCUGGGUUUUGAAUUCUGGCUCCACAGAACUUGUCAGAUAUAUGACAUUAAACAAGAUACUUCAACAUUCUGUGCCUUCAUUUUCUUAGCUGUAAAUAGAGAUUUUACUAGAACUCUAUAAGAUUAUCAUGAGAAUUACAUUAAUAUAUGUAAAGCUUUAGACAUAGUAUAUGGCACCUAGUAAGCACUCAAUUAAAUGUUAGUUACCAUUAGUAGCAGUGUAGAAUUAAAAAACAAAAACUGCAAACUGUAAGUUAGGCAUCUGGCUCUGCAAACUAGUGGAAUUCCCCAGACCUUAUUCUGGCCAUCUGUAAAAUGAAAGGGUUGGGCUAGAUCAUCUCUAAAUUUCCUUCCAACUUAAAAAACAUUGUUCAAAAACACAUUUUAGGAGUACGCAAAGUAUUUCAGCAGAAGGCGAUGUUUUAGCAGAAUAUUUUUAAAGGCACUUAAUCACUUUCACAAAAAAUGUGUUUCAUGGCUUGUACUUCCUCCUCUAUCAACUC